This 695-nucleotide ribosomal RNA is filed under the name uncultured bacterium. Its description in RNAcentral is "bacterial SSU rRNA". It matches the Rfam family "Bacterial small subunit ribosomal RNA", at positions 140 to 851 of the family's 1533-position model. The record is from RNAcentral.
GGGAUAACAUUCUGAAAAGAAUGCUAAUACCGCAUGACAUAUCGGAACCACAUGGCUCUGAUAUCAAAGAUUUUAUCGCUUGAAGAUGGACUCGCGUCCGAUUAGUUAGUUGGUGAGGUAACGGCUCACCAAGACCGCGAUCGGUAGCCGGACUGAGAGGUUGAACGGCCACAUUGGGACUGAGACACGGCCCAGACUCCUACGGGAGGCAGCAGUGGGGGAUAUUGCGCAAUGGGGGCAACCCUGACGCAGCAACGCCGCGUGAAGGAUGAAGGUUUUCGGAUUGUAAACUUCUUUUAUUAAGGACGAAAAAUGACGGUACUUAAUGAAUAAGCUCCGGCUAACUACGUGCCAGCAGCCGCGGUAAUACGUAGGGAGCAAGCGUUGUCCGGAUUUACUGGGUGUAAAGGGUGCGUAGGCGGCUUUGCAAGUCAGAUGUGAAAUCUAUGGGCUCAACCCAUAAACUGCAUUUGAAACUGUAGAGCUUGAGUGAAGUAGAGGCAGGCGGAAUUCCCCGUGUAGCGGUGAAAUGCGUAGAGAUGGGGAGGAACACCAGUGGCGAAGGCGGCCUGCUGGGCUUUAACUGACGCUGAGGCACGAAAGCGUGGGUAGCAAACAGGAUUAGAUACCCUGGUAGUCCACGCUGUAAACGAUGAUUACUAGGUGUGGGGGGUCUGACCCCUUCCGUGCCGGAG